GCCGACGUGGCGGAAAUGGUAUACGCGCAUGUCUUAGGAACAUGUACCGCAAGGUGUGUGGGUUCGAUUCCCUCCGUCGGCA
RNAcentral lists this transfer RNA (82 nucleotides) under Candidatus Dojkabacteria bacterium. RNAcentral describes it as "tRNA-Leu". It matches the Rfam family "tRNA". Rfam says of the family: Transfer RNA (tRNA) molecules are approximately 80 nucleotides in length. Their secondary structure includes four short double-helical elements and three loops (D, anti-codon, and T loops). The record is from RNAcentral.